This 554-nucleotide ribosomal RNA is filed under the name uncultured Ascomycota. Its description in RNAcentral is "eukaryotic LSU rRNA". The stretch from base 205 to 356 matches the Rfam family "5.8S ribosomal RNA". The record is from RNAcentral. Lineage: Eukaryota; Fungi; Ascomycota.
CUUGGUCAUUUAGAGGAAGUAAAAGUCGUAACAAGGUCUCCGUAGGUGAACCUGCGGAGGGAUCAUUACAAAGCAUUUUUGCUCAACCCUGUUUACUGUUCUGUUGCUUAGGAGGCGCCCCUCGGGAGGGGAUCUGCUUCGGCCGCCUCCGAAAGCAUGUAAAAUUAUUAUUAUCUGUGGAAAUUCUGAAAACACAAAACAUUAAAACCUCAACAACGGAUCUCUUGGUUACAGCAUCGAUGAAGAACGCAGCUAGAUGCGAUACGUGAUGUGAAUCGCAUAGCCAUGAUACAUCGAGUUUUUGAACGCACAUUGCACUUGGAGGUACUCUUCCAAGUCUGUCUGUUCGAGCGUCGUUUCACCCCUCAGGCUUGCCUGGUUGUGGGGUCGGCAACUGCCGGUCCUCAAGUACAUUGACGGAACCUACGGUCCAGAUGCAGUCACGCUUCGUCUGAAACCCGACGGCACUCUUGUCUGUUUUACUCUACUCUGAAACAUGACCUCGAAUCAGAUGGGGAUACCCGCUGAACUUAAGCAUAUCAAUAAGCGGAGGA